Polistes dominula (European paper wasp) is the source of this 1013-nucleotide long non-coding RNA. RefSeq lists it as uncharacterized. Lineage: Eukaryota; Metazoa; Arthropoda; Insecta; Hymenoptera; Vespidae. The record is from RefSeq and is a predicted model, not a curated record.
GAAGAAGAAGAAGAAGAAGGUAGAAGAAGAAGAAGAGGAAUAGGAAUAGGGAAGAAGAGUAGGGGUUGUACCACUCGUCCUCGGCCUCGGUUCGAAAGCCUCCCUCUCUUUGCUCACUCAGUCAGUGUGAGGAACGAACGGUACGAGGAGGGAGAGUUUGCCGCGCUAGCUGCCUUCCUUCCUCCUCGUCAGUUCCUCGCGAACCGCGAGCCGUGUAGUACUUUUCAAUUCGUUUUGUCAUCAAAAAAAGAUUUUACAAAAAAAGAAAACAGAAGAAGACAACGUAUUAACAUUUGUUUUUAUCAAUUAACGUAUAUUAACGAUGUUGGUUGUAUCAAAAUUUGCAAUCGAACGUUGUCCUCGAAAUUAUCGACGACUAUGCGAAUACGUUACGAUCGUUACGUGCGAGGACGACGUUCAAUGAGAGAAAGAAGGAUAAAAAAAGAAAGUUAAAGAGAAAAAGAAAAAGAAAAAAAAAAUAGAAAAGAAGAAAAUAUAUCUCGAUACAAUUUCGUAGGCGAAAAUAAAAAUAUGUACGUUCGACUAGUGACCUCGUCGUGUGCGUUUUAAAGAUUUGUGUUAAAACGAAGAAUUCGAUCCGAAGAGUUAGAAAAGAAUAGAAAAAGAAAACAAAAAAAAAAAAACAAAAAAAAUAGGAGAAAAAAGAUGGGAAAGUUAAAAACGAGAAGAAGAGGACAAGGAGAGAGGAGAGGGUGAUUUUCUUAAGAGAAAAGUUCCUGUGAUAGAUAUCGAAAAGUUUCGAACGAGACCAAGAAAAGGAGAUAUGUAUUUGCCCAUAGGUGUGUUUAAAUACACUAUCAACUAAAAGUUUGGAAUAAUUCUACGCAAAUUCACAUAAAUGGGAUAUUAAUAAGAAAUCAAAUAUUCAACGUUGAACUUGAACAAUGUUAAUAUUUAAGUUUUAGCCGAUUUUGUUUCGAUCAAUCGAUAACUGAAAUCAACGGGAAGAUUAUUUUUAAGCUACUGAUCGAUAAACGAUAGGAUAAAAUCUA